UAGGGAAUCUUCCACAAUGGACGCAAGUCUGAUGGAGCAACGCCGCGUGAGUGAAGAAGGUUUUCGGACCGUAAAAGCUCUGUUGUUGGUGAAGAAGGAUAGAGGUAGUAACUGGCCUUUAUUUGACGGUAAUCAACCAGAAAGUCACGGCUAACUACGUGCCAGCAGCCGCGGUAAUACGUAGGCGGCAAGCGUUGUCCGGAUUUAUUGGGCGUAAAGCGAGCGCAGGCGGAAGAAUAAGUCUGAUGUGAAAGCCCUCGGCUUAACCGAGGAAUUGCAUCGGAAACUGUUUUUCUUGAGUGCAGAAGAGGAGAGUAGAACUCCAUGUGUAGCGGUGGAAUGCGUAGAUAUAUGGAAGAAUACCAGUGGCGAAGGCGGCUCUCUGGUCUGCAACUGACGCUGAGGCUCGAAAAGCAUGGGUAGCGAACAGGAUUAGAUACCCUGGUAGUCCAUGCCGUAAAACGAUGAGUACUAAGUGUUGGGAGGCUUCCGCCUCUCAGUGCUGCAGCUAAACGCAUUAAGCACUCCGCCUGGGGGAGUACGACCGCAA
This 550-nucleotide ribosomal RNA is filed under the name uncultured bacterium. RNAcentral's name for it is "partial 16S ribosomal RNA". It matches the Rfam family "Bacterial small subunit ribosomal RNA", at positions 355 to 891 of the family's 1533-position model. The record is from RNAcentral.